RNAcentral lists this transfer-messenger RNA (218 nucleotides) under Hydrogenophaga sp. RNAcentral describes it as "partial transfer-messenger RNA". It matches the Rfam family "transfer-messenger RNA", at positions 1 to 252 of the family's 374-position model. Rfam says of the family: Bacterial tmRNA, also known as 10Sa RNA or SsrA, is named for its dual tRNA and mRNA-like properties. The record is from RNAcentral. Lineage: Bacteria; Pseudomonadati; Pseudomonadota; Betaproteobacteria; Burkholderiales; Comamonadaceae.
GGGGCUGCACUGGUUUCGACGUGGGUUCGGACACGCAGCAGGGCAUGUCGAGGUUCUGUCACCUCGUAAAACCGCAGAAAAAAACUAACUGCAAACGACGAACGUUUCGCACUCGCCGCUUAAUUGCCGGUGAGCUUUGCAACAGCAGGCCUAUGGGCUGGGCAAGGGUUCAGACGGCGCAAGCCGCGAGAGUCCAGGCUGCAAAGAUAAUUCAAUAG